Molecule: long non-coding RNA, 805 nt
Organism: Ostrinia nubilalis (European corn borer)
Lineage: Eukaryota; Metazoa; Arthropoda; Insecta; Lepidoptera; Crambidae
Exons: 3
Source: RefSeq, a predicted model, not a curated record
GGAUCAUCCAUCAUCACAUCGAGGGAUCAGCAAAGGGUACCGUGUUGUGCUUCCUCACGAGUCACGUACGCAGUUUACAGGAAUUUGACCCCAACGACUACUCUCCACUCACUCCUGCCCACUUCACUAUUGGCCGGCCGCUGACUGCACCUGCAGAGAGUGAUUUUACCGCUGCAACCACGCACACACUCAAUCGUUACCAGCGAGUUGAACAGCUGAGGCAGACAUUUUGGAGGAGAUGGUCUACAGAGUACAUAUCAGAGCUUCAGAAACGUACUAAAUGGCAACAGAAAACUGAAGACUUGCAAACUGGAACAUUAGUUGUCAUAAAGGACGAUAACCUUCCGCCGCUGAAAUGGCGGUUAGGACGCAUAAUAACUCUGAUUUCAGGCAGUGACGGCGUACCAAGGGUUGCUGUCAUUCGGACGGCCACAGGCAUCAUACACAGGGCAUUCUCAAAGAUAUGCCCACUUCCGGUCGCUGAGGUGCCAGGUUCGAGGCUCGGCGCGUGACAUGACGUGAGCUGAGAUGUUGAGAGGGAGUCUCUCAAGGCCCGCCGGAAUGUUAAGAAGAGCCAUCUAUUGGAGCGCGUGAGAAGCUCCAACCAAAGAUCAAUGGCAAUAUUAUCACCGAGCACCGCAUCGAUUACGUCACGCGAUGUCAAGAAACCACAACAGAUGGCGCUGAAGCACACCUAUAAAAACGAUUGCACGGACGCUUAACGUCUCUCAUUCUCAUUUGAACUUUCAACUGAAAUAUUGUAAACGCUUUAUUGUAAAGUAAUAAAUCCCAGUAUAUCUUCAAA